CAGUCGCCGCGGUAAUACGUAGGGUGCAAGCGUUAAUCGGAAUUACUGGGCGUAAAGCGUGCGCAGGCGGUUUGUUAAGACAGAUGUGAAAUCCCCGGGCUCAACCUGGGAACUGCAUUUGUGACUGGCAAGCUAGAGUGUGGCAGAGGGGGGUGGAAUUCCGCGUGUAGCAGUGAAAUGCGUAGAUAUGCGGAGGAACACCGAUGGCGAAGGCAGCCCCCUGGGCCAACACUGACGCUCAUGCACGAAAGCGUGGGGAGCAAACAGGAUUAGAUACCCGCGUAGUCCCUGUCUCUUAUAC
RNAcentral lists this ribosomal RNA (301 nucleotides) under uncultured bacterium. RNAcentral describes it as "partial 16S ribosomal RNA". It matches the Rfam family "Bacterial small subunit ribosomal RNA", at positions 509 to 807 of the family's 1533-position model. The record is from RNAcentral.